RNAcentral lists this ribosomal RNA (560 nucleotides) under uncultured bacterium. RNAcentral's name for it is "partial 16S ribosomal RNA". It matches the Rfam family "Bacterial small subunit ribosomal RNA", at positions 355 to 1375 of the family's 1533-position model. The record is from RNAcentral.
UGGGGAAUCUUGCGCAAUGGGCGAAAGCCUGACGCAGCCAUGCCGCGUGAGUGAUGAAGGCCUUAGGGUUGUAAAACUCUUUCACCGGGGACGAUAAUGACGGUACCCGGAGAAGAAGCCCCGGCUAACUUCGUGCCAGCAGCCGCGGUAAUACGAAGGGGGCUAGCGUUGCUCGGAAUUACUGGGCGUAAAGGGCGCGUAGGCGGAUCAGCAAGUUGGGGGUGAAAGCCCGGGGCUCAACCUCGGAAUUGCCUUCAAAACUGCUGAUCUAGAGUACGGGAGAGGUGUGUGGAACUCCGAGUGUAGAGGUGAAAUUCGUAGAUAUUCGGAAGAACACCAGUGGCGAAGGCGACACACUGGCCCGUUACUGACGCUGAGGCGCGAAAGCGUGGGGAGCAAACAGGAUUAGAUACCCUGGUAGUCCACGCUGUAAACGAUGAUUGCUAGUUGUCGGCAGGCAUGCCUGUCGGUGACGCAGCUAACGCAUUAAGCAAUCCGCCUGGGGAGUACGGUCGCAAGAUUAAAACUCAAAUGAAUUGACGGGGUCAUAGCUGUUUCCU